GCCAGAUAAGGGAAGCAGGCCUCCGAAGCCAGCAGUGGCAACCCACUUGGGUCCCUUUCAAUGCUGUGGAAGCGUUGUUCUUUCACUCUUCUCAAUAAAUCUUGCUGCUGCUCACUCUUUGGGUCUGCCCCGCUGUUAUGAGCUGUAACACUCACAGCCAGUGUCUGCAGUUUCACUCCUGAAGCCAGCAAGACCACAAACCCACAGGGCGGGACAAACAACUCCGGACAGGAGGAAUGAACAACUCUGGACGCGCCACUUCUAUGAACUUUUAUGAACUGUAACACUCACCGCAAAGGUCUGCAGCUUCACCCCUGAGGCCAGGGAGACCACGAACCCACCGGAAGGAAUGAACAACUCCAGACGCACUGCCUUUAAGAGCUGUAACACUUACCACGGAUGUCUGCAGCUUCACUCCUGAAGUCAGCGAGACCACAAACCCAACAGAAGGAAGAAACUCCCGACACAUCUGAACAUCUGAAGGAACAAACUCUGGACACACCAUCUUUAAGAACUGUAACACUCACCGUGAGGGUCAACCGCUUCAUUCUUGAAGUCAGCCAGACCAAGAACCCACCAAUUCCGGACUAAUCAAGAAAACAACUUGACCCAUGGAGAAUGGAGAAAAGCAAGGCAGGAUGAUCAUCCACCAGGCAGCAAUACGGAACCAAGGGGACCUCCCCUGCCCUAGGAAGUGAGUCUCACUUUGUUGCCUAAGCUAGAGUGCAGCGUCGUGAUCAAGGCUCACUGCAGCCUCAACAUCCUGAUCCCCAGUGUUCCUCCCACCUCAACCUCCCAAGUAGCUGGGACCACAGGGUUUCAUCAUUUUUGGCCAUGCUGGCCUUGAACGCCUAACCUCAAAUGAUCCACCUGCCUUGGCCUCCUGAAGUUCUGGGAGUUAUAGGCAUGAGUCACCAUGCCUGGCACCACAUAAAAUUAUUUUGUCAUUAACAUUACAUUUUAAAAUACAAACGCUGUUUUCCAUAUUACUCAGGUCAGAUCUUUUACCCCACUUCUCUCAGUGAGAUUGCAUUAUUUAUUUCCAUCUCUAUAAUCUACUGUUCAUCCAUCUAUCUAUCCAUCCCUCAAUUUAGUUUUUUCACUACAUUCUGCAUUUGAUUCUUUUGAGGGUGUAUGCUUGUGUUUGUGCGUGGAAGUGGGGGUGUGUGUGUGUGUGUGUGUUCAAAAAGGUCUACAGUUUCCUUUUUCUGUAAUAUCUGUGUCUGCUGUUGGUAUUAGGGUAAUGCUGAACUCAUAGAGUAUGUGAAAAGUUUUCUACAUUCUUUGAUUUUUCUGAAAGAAAUUGUGCAGAAUUCAUAUUAUUUCUUUCUUAAAUGCUCAAGUGUUUAUUAAAAUUUACCAGUAAAA
This 1368-nucleotide long non-coding RNA is filed under the name Homo sapiens (human). RNAcentral's name for it is "long independently transcribed non-coding RNA 2377, transcript variant 16 (LINC02377)". Lineage: Eukaryota; Metazoa; Chordata; Mammalia; Primates; Hominidae. The record is from RNAcentral.